UAGGGAAUCUUCGGCAAUGGGGGCGAACCCUCGACCGAGCAACGCCGCGUGAGUGAAGAAGGUCUUCGGAUCGUAAAACUCUGUUGUUAGAGAAGAACACGAGUGAGAGUAACUGUUCAUUCGAUGACGGUAUCUAACCAGCAAGUCACGGCUAACUACGUGCCAG
This 166-nucleotide ribosomal RNA is filed under the name uncultured bacterium. RNAcentral's name for it is "partial 16S rRNA". It matches the Rfam family "Bacterial small subunit ribosomal RNA", at positions 355 to 511 of the family's 1533-position model. The record is from RNAcentral.